UUUCCGUAGGUGAACCUGCGGAAGGAUCAUUACAUUCAGUAGCCUAGCUACUUGUUUACACCCUUGUUUUUGCGUACCUAUUGUUUCCUCGGCGGGUCCGCCCGCCGAUUGGACAAUUUAAACCAUUUGCAGUUGCAAUCAGCGUCUGAAAAACUUUAAUAGUUACAACUUUCAACAACGGAUCUCUUGGUUCUGGCAUCGAUGAAGAACGCAGC
RNAcentral lists this unclassified non-coding RNA (215 nucleotides) under uncultured fungus. Its description in RNAcentral is "sequence contains ITS1, 5.8S rRNA gene". The stretch from base 167 to 215 matches the Rfam family "5.8S ribosomal RNA", at positions 1 to 49 of the family's 154-position model. The record is from RNAcentral. Lineage: Eukaryota; Fungi.